AAAAGGGAAAUGAGUGUAAUUCUCAUACUGUACCAGCAACUGUAAUGUGGAUUAACAAUAAAAUAUGCCAUUAAAACAUUAGUUUUUGAGAAGGCUUAUUGUUAAAAUGAAACUAAGUCAGGAGACCU
Molecule: non-coding RNA, 128 nt
Filed under: Spiroplasma culicicola
Lineage: Bacteria; Bacillati; Mycoplasmatota; Mollicutes; Entomoplasmatales; Spiroplasmataceae
Source: RNAcentral